RNAcentral lists this long non-coding RNA (2783 nucleotides) under Mytilus galloprovincialis (Mediterranean mussel). The record is from RNAcentral. Lineage: Eukaryota; Metazoa; Mollusca; Bivalvia; Mytilida; Mytilidae.
GAAAGAAUAGGUUUCGAGCUUUAGAAAUAAAAUCAAAUAUUGCUUCAUCAUGCUUUGAUGCUACAUGUUCAUGAUUUUCACUCAUCUUUUAUUUUUUGUUAUUUUGCACCAAAAUGUUUUUUAAUAUCUUAGCAUACAUGUACUUAAUGAAUGUUCAACUAAAUUUCAAACUCCAAUGAAAAAGUGGGAUAACACAAAAGUAAAUGUUUAAUGGUGAUCAUAGGCUAACCAGUUUUUGGACCUAAUUCACAGAUUUCAUAACUCUAUUGAGGAAUAUUCAAAUAUGUUGAAAUGAUAAGGAAAUAUUUAAACAUAUAUUUCCAAGGUGGAUAUUGAAAUAGUUUUAACCUUUUUUUAAUCAUCUUUUUAAUUUGUGGAUUUAUUUCAAUAAGAAUACAAAUACAGUAUGACCCUUAUGAUAUGAUAGGAAUUUAUUGUAGUUAUUGAACCAGUGGUUUAUCAUCGUGAAAUACUGGUUUUGCUAAUACAAGGUGAUUGAACUGAAUUGAAAAUGAAAACUCUGAAUAGAAAUUAUCUUUGAAUUUUGUAAUAAUAACAAUGCCACUGAGUGGCCAGGUUGUAUAGCAUUACCAAUGUCCAUCAUUUGUUAACCAAACCUCUGUUUUAAUUUCUUUAUGCUUGUUGUUAUUGAGUUGGAUUGUAAGGUGAUAGUGAUGAGUUACAGAUUUACAUUAGUUUUACUUUCAUUUCAAAUGACCUACUUGUCACAGAUUUACUGUGUCUUCUACAGGCUAGGGCAUUUGUGUUCUUCUGACAUGUGUACAAUAGUCUGAAUCUUUAGAAAUUCCCACCUAAAACAUCAUUUGAAAAUGUCCAAUGGUGAUAUUUAAUUGUUACAUGAUAACAUAUAUGAUAUAUAUGCAUUCAUACAGUGUAGACUGAGCAUUAUUAUAUUUUUUAAUGUGAAAGUUAUUAUUGCAUUCUUAAGUUACAAAUUUGAAUAAAUAACCUUAUUAUAGGAAUACAAAUGUGUGAUUUUCAAACUGUUUGUAUUUUAAUGUGUGUGUUUUAAAAUCAUAUUGAUUUUAUUCCCUCCUGUUAUAACAAGUGCUUUCAUGAUACAAAGUUUAAAGUAGGUUUUAUAUAUAAAAAUAAUAUUUGAGGUCUAAUUGAUUUUUACAUGUACAAUAUUAUUCAUGAAUUAUGGUUAUUUCAUUUUUUUGCAUGUAUUUAUAAAAAAAUUCAUGUGUAAUAUUGUUUAGCAAUCCCUUUAUUCAAUUUUUAAGAUACCAAACAAUGACCUCAUUUAAUAUUUUAGAAGACCUGUCAUUGUAUUGAGAUAAAAAUUAAUGUUUUAGAAAACCAGUUAUGGUACUGAACCCUGUACACAAAUCUAAGUUGUGUUCAAGCAUUGACAUAUGGGUAGAGUUCAAAACAUUAACUUAUUUAGAUAACACUAAUUAACAUCCUUCAAAUGUAGAAAAAAAAAGUCAGAAAAUAUUAAGAUUCAUAGAACUAGCAGUGAUAAACACGUAUUAUGAAAGAGAAAAAAUAUUUCGGGAAACUUUCAAGAUAUAAAGAAGUCCAAUGAACUAUACAAACAUAGAAAUAUAUUGAAUAAAAAGAAGAGCAAAAAAUCAAAUCUUAAGCAACAGAAUUAGAUUUCAUUAAAUAAUUGAAUCCACAAUCAGUGUAUCCCAAACUCUGUCUGACUGACAGAAUUUUUAUGAUUUUUUGGUUGAAUAUAUUGUAGAAAAUUCAAAUUUCUUUUUUGAUCGGUCAAACCCUCAAACUGUUUGGCACUGACUGCACCAUAAUCAUAAUAAGAAAUUUGCAACAUCUUAGCCAGUACUAACCAAAGGAUGGACAUUUUAUUAUUAAUCUCUUUAAGUUUUGAAUGAUUUGUUUUGGUUGUAUAUUUAUUUACUCAUGAGUUGUGUGUUCAUUCAUAUCCAUUUAAGACAUUACAAAAUGUAAACCUGAUCAGAAUGAAUGUGUUUUAAGUAUAAAAUAGCAAUAAAGACCACAUUUUGACAUAGUGAUUAUUUUUAUGAUUUUUUGUUGUUAGGUUGUAAUUCUUCAACAAUUACCCUGUUGUCUCCUUCCAUUCCUACUUUUGGUAUUAUAAGUGGUUCAAUAUCCACAAAUCUAGUUGUGAUGUAGAUAUGAAAAUAUUGAUAUACAGGUGCUAUUUUAUUUCUUAUGAAAUUUAAGAGAAUCCUAAGGAUCAGCCUACUGGCCAAUCUAUUGUUAUAUUAAAAAUCUACCUGAUGUGCAACAGUACAAGGUAACAUACCCAUAACCAGUAUUAGGGGGAAAUUAUCAGAUUCUUAGAGGCUUUACUAAAGCUGUAAGACACACUUAGUACUAGGUUAAAUGUUCACUCUUUCAAUUCGUAUCGAACUAGGUGUGAUAUAUCUUAAACGCCAUUUGGUGUAUAUUGUAUAUAUUUAGAUUCUUAGACUUAUAUCAUGUGGAAAACGGUCAGGUUUACAGGUGUGUUGUACAUAAAUCAUGAUUUAAUCAUUUUAUUUUUAUUUUUAUUUCCCCAUUAUGUACAGAUUUGUAUCUAGUCUAUUCAUUUUAAUGCAUGUUUAUUUUGUAUAUUUUACUGGUGUGGGAUAAGAGUAGUUGUGAUAGACAAAAUACACAUUUAUCAUGAAAGGCAUUUUACAAGUGAGUUGUUUGUAAAGUAAUAUAUUUUAUAUAAUAGUGUAUAUUACAUAUACUUGAUAUUGUACUUAAAUGGUAUGGGAAUGAGUUGAUUUAUAUAAUAAUGAAUUAUGUAUAAACAAAAUUCAUAACAAUAAUCAGAAAUAAAC